UACGUAGGGUGCAAGCGUUUGUCCGGAAUUAUUGGGCGUAAAAGAGCUCGUAGGCGGUCUGUCGCGUCGGCUGUGAAAACCCGGGGCUCAACCCCGGGCCUGCAGUCGAUACGGGCAGACUAGAGUGUGGUAGGGGAGACUGGAAUUCCUGGUGUAGCGGUGAAAUGCGCAGAUAUCAGGAGGAACACCGGUGGCGAAGGCGGGUCUCUGGGCCAUAACUGACGCUGGAGGAGCGAAAGCGUGGGGAGCGAACAGG
This 256-nucleotide ribosomal RNA is filed under the name uncultured bacterium. RNAcentral describes it as "partial 16S ribosomal RNA". It matches the Rfam family "Bacterial small subunit ribosomal RNA", at positions 524 to 776 of the family's 1533-position model. The record is from RNAcentral.